CACGGCCGGUCCCCCAAAAUACAGUGACGUUCUGCGCAGCUCCAUCGCGUAGUAGCUAACACCUCGCGACUGGAGAGCGGCGCGGCCACGCCGUAAAACACCCAACUCUCUGAAGUUGACCUCGAAUCAGGUAGGAAUACCCGCUGAACUUAAGCAUAUCAAUAAGCGGAGGAAAAGAAACCAACAGGGAUUGCCCCAGUAACGGCGAGUGAAGCGGCAACAGCUCAAAUUUGAAAUCUGGCUCUCGGGCCCGAGUUGUAAUUUGUAGAGGAUGCUUUUGGUGAGGUGCCUUCCGAGUUCCCUGGAACGGGACGCCAUAGAGGGUGAGAGCCCCGUCUGGUUGGACGCCGAACCUCUGUAAAGCUCCUUCGACGAGUCGAGUAGUUUGGGAAUGCUGCUCUAAAUGGGAGGUAUAUGUCUUCUAAAGCUAAAUACCGGCCAGAGACCGAUAGCGCACAAGUAGAGUGAUCGAAAGAUGAAAAGAACUUUGAAAAGAGAGUUAAACAGUACGUGAAAUUGUUGAAAGGGAAGCGCUUGUGACCAGACUUGGGCUUGGUUGAUCAUCCGGGGUUCUCCCCGGUGCACUCUUCCGGCCUAGGCCAGCAUCAGUUCGCCCUGGGGGAUAAAGGCUUCGGGAACGUGGCUCUCUCCGGGGAGUGUUAUAGCCCGCUGCGUAAUACCCUGUGGCGGACUGAGGUUCGCGCAUUCGCAAGGAUGCUGGCGUAAUGGUCAUCAGUGACCCGUCUUGAAACACGGACCAAGGAGUCGUCUUCGUAUGCGAGUGUUCGGGUGUCAAACCCCUACGCGAAAUGAAAGUGAACGCAGGUGAGAGCUUCGGCGCAUCAUCGACCGAUCCUGAUGUUAUCGGAUGGAUUUGAGUAAGAGCAUACGGGGCCGGACCCGAAAGAAGGUGAACUAUGCCUGUGUAGGGUGAAGCCAGAGGAAACUCUGGUGGAGGCUCGCAGCGGUUCUGACGUGCAAAUCGAUCGUCAAACAUGGGCAUGGGGGCGAAAGACUAAUCGAACGUCUUGGU
This is a ribosomal RNA of 1033 nucleotides. The stretch from base 117 to 1033 matches the Rfam family "Eukaryotic large subunit ribosomal RNA", at positions 1 to 948 of the family's 3401-position model.